RNAcentral lists this ribosomal RNA (468 nucleotides) under uncultured bacterium. Its description in RNAcentral is "partial 16S ribosomal RNA". It matches the Rfam family "Bacterial small subunit ribosomal RNA", at positions 28 to 507 of the family's 1533-position model. The record is from RNAcentral.
GACGAACGCUGGCGGCGUGCUUAACACAUGCAAGUCGAACGGAAAGGCCCUGCUUUUGUGGGGUGCUUGAGUGGCGAACGGGUGAGUAACACGUGAGUAACCUGCCCUUGACUUUGGGAUAACUUCAGGAAACUGGGGCUAAUACCGGAUAGGAGCUCCUGCUGCAUGGUGGGGGUUGGAAAGUUUCGGCGGUUGGGGAUGGACUCGCGGCUUAUCAGCUUGUUGGUGGGGUAGUGGCUUACCAAGGCUUUGACGGGUAGCCGGCCUGAGAGGGUGACCGGCCACAUUGGGACUGAGAUGCGGCCCAGACUCCUACGGGGGGCAGCAGUGGGGAAUAUUGCACAAUGGGCGGAAGCCUGAUGCAGCAACGCCGCGUGCGGGAUGACGGCCUUCGGGUUGUAAACCGCUUUCGCCUGUGACGAAGCGUGAGUGACGGUAAUGGGUAAAGAAGCACCGGCUAACUACGUG